AAAUUGAAGAGUUUGAUCAUGGCUCAGAUUGAACGCUGGCGGCAGGCCUAACACAUGCAAGUCGAACGGUAACAGGAAGAAGCUUGCUUCUUUGCUGACGAGUGGCGGACGGGUGAGUAAUGUCUGGGAAACUGCCUGAUGGAGGGGGAUAACUACUGGAAACGGUAGCUAAUACCGCAUAACGUCGCAAGACCAAAGAGGGGGACCUUCGGGCCUCUUGCCAUCGGAUGUGCCCAGAUGGGAUUAGCUAGUAGGUGGGGUAACGGCUCACCUAGGCGACGAUCCCUAGCUGGUCUGAGAGGAUGACCAGCCACACUGGAACUGAGACACGGUCCAGACUCCUACGGGAGGCAGCAGUGGGGAAUAUUGCACAAUGGGCGCAAGCCUGAUGCAGCCAUGCCGCGUGUAUGAAGAAGGCCUUCGGGUUGUAAAGUACUUUCAGCGGGGAGGAAGGGAGUAAAGUUAAUACCUUUGCUCAUUGACGUUACCCGCAGAAGAAGCACCGGCUAACUCCGUGCCAGCAGCCGCGGUAAUACGGAGGGUGCAAGCGUUAAUCGGAAUUACUGGGCGUAAAGCGCACGCAGGCGGUUUGUUAAGUCAGAUGUGAAA
Molecule: ribosomal RNA, 609 nt
Filed under: Escherichia coli
Lineage: Bacteria; Pseudomonadati; Pseudomonadota; Gammaproteobacteria; Enterobacterales; Enterobacteriaceae
Also listed under: 1 other name
Description: bacterial SSU rRNA
Rfam family: Bacterial small subunit ribosomal RNA
Source: RNAcentral